RNAcentral lists this long non-coding RNA (1162 nucleotides) under Homo sapiens (human). RNAcentral describes it as "long intergenic non-protein coding RNA 1471". Lineage: Eukaryota; Metazoa; Chordata; Mammalia; Primates; Hominidae. The record is from RNAcentral.
AGAGGUGGGGGACAGAGUGGGUGGGGAGGGGAGCCGCCAUACAGUGGCCAGGACCAGCUUUGCCCAAGUGGUGGCAACCGCAUGACCACAGGAACGAUGGCGUGAGCCCCGUGGCAACCUGGAGGAAGGGCCAAGCCACUGGUGAAUAUGCUGCAAAAAAUAUGCUGGAACUUCUAUGAAUACCACAGGGUGUGAGAAGAAAACAUUAGAACUUCUAUUUUGUACCUGUGUUACUCCACAACAAGAAAGCAAUCAGCUUGAUCAAUGCCUACUGUAAAGACGGCACCGCCCUCCGGAGGUCCUUUCUCAGCCCUGGUGUUCGGACAGCCACAUCCCCUCGCAGCAGGGGGAGGCCUGAAGCAUAGAGGGGCCCAUGCAGGUCUAUUCUGUUUCAGCGAAUUGCCUGGGAAAUAAUCCAGGAUCCAUUUCGUGUGGUCAUCUUGUCUCCCUGGUCCCCUCCAGCCUUUCCUCAUCUUUUGUGACCUGGUCACUCUGGAAGGGCGCUGGCCAGUUAGUCCACAGGAUGGGCCUCCCCUGGGGCUUUUCUGAUGCUUCCUUAUGAUGGCACUGGCAUCCUGAGGGGGAGGACCACAGAGAGGAGGUGCUCCUCAUCACACCACAUGGGGGUCCAUGCACCAGUGCCACUGCUUUCCAGGGCUCUUCACCUUCAUCACUGGUGGAGGUGGCGUCUGCCAAGAAGCAGAAAGUUGAGGCUUAGAAGGUGCACGGCCCUACCUCUUCCGAGGUGCCCCUGCGGGCUGUCUACAGACCAGGCAGCACAUGCCUGAUAGCAGCUGCAUAAGGAAAAGCAGGAGCCAGCUCGUGCACAGUGGCCUCAAGUGUGCACUGGGCAUGUUCUCUGCCUCACCAUCCCUGUGUGACAGAUGAAGCAUGACAGCCCUCAACAGAAGCCAAGGCCAAGUCCUCGAACUUCCUAGUCUGCACAAUGUCUGUCUUUCAGACACUUCUGAUGAAACUGAAAAUGCCACCAGGGAGAAGCAGCUGAACAAUGUGAGAGAUAGAAUGGAUGCCCUAAAGAAGAGGAUGCAGCAGAAAUUAGGAAGAGAUAAAGAAGAGCAACAUUCCUUAAGAAAUGCCCUAUGGUUGGGAAUGGCCAUUUCAUGUUAGAAACAAAGGUGAUAAUAUUCAAUUCUGGGCAGUC